AGGGCGACACUAGGUGCCCUCAGUUGCAUAACUAUGAAAUCCAUAAAGAGAUGGCACCACUGUUGCCCGGGUAUAUAUAUGGGUGCUCGCAUGAAUAAAGGGUCUUGCGUCUGGUGUGAUAUGGGUUGACAUCUGUCUCAUUCUUCUGCUGGCCAACACUACAAUUUGGCGACGAGGAUGGGAUCCGCUGCACUUUCGCCGCCGCCGCUAUUCCUCGCUACCCCGGGCACUCCAGCCAUUCCAUGGCCCCGCUGGAUACGCCUCUUCGAGAACUUCCUUCUCGCGUCUGGAGCUGCCGACCUGCCUGCGUCCCGCCGCCGAGCUCUUUUGCUACACUGCUUGGGGCCGGAAGGACAACGCAUCUUCGAUGCACUCCCAUCGCCAACUGCGCCGAACGAAGCUGCUUCAGCCGCGCUCUCCGAGCAAGACGCCACAGCGACUAGUUCCCCAGACACAUACGACGUGGCCCGCGAGACGCUGGCUCGACAUUUCGCCGACACGCGCAACGUUCGGCUGGAACGCAACCACUUCCGCGAACGCCGUCAGCUACACGGUGAGUGCAUCUCUGACUUCGCCCUCGCGCUUCGAGAACUGGCUGCCUCUUGCAAUUUCGGCGAGCAAGCAAACGAAAACAUGUGCGAUCAGUUCAUCACUGGCGUUGCAUCUCCGCAGUUACGUUCACGAUUGUUAUUGGAAGGAGACGCACUGACUUUCGAUCGUGCCGUCGAAAUUGCGCUACUUCGUGAGCGAGCUCAGCUCGAGUCUGAAGCCUUUGCUAACCCCAUUCAGCGCAUCAUACAACAGCCACGCCAACGUGAUGCUUUUGGAAUGGCCAGACAAGAUAACCGGCGUUUCAGCGACAAUGGCACGCGCGUCCCAAGUCAAGCCCGCGUUCGUCAUGCUCUCCCGCCAACUUCAGACGCGGCCACCGCCAUUGUUCCGUACAGCGGAAAUUCAGGUGUCUGCGGUAAUUGCGGCACAGCAGGUUGCGAGCCGUCUGUGUGCCCCGCUCGCGGUAAGACCUGCUUCGCAUGCGGCCGCCGUGGCCACUUCAUGCGAGUCUGCCGUAGCAGCCGCAGCGCACGAGGACGACGCCCGGCUCGCGUCCGCGAAGUAGUUUCUGAACAGGACACGUCACACACCAUCAGCAUUCUCACUGUUUACGAAGAUAAGCCCACGGGUGUCUACAUUGAAGUGGCACUCACGCCAAUCAACUCCAAAUCGCAACCGCGCGUUGUGAAGUUCUUGGUCGACACUGGAUCCGCUGUGUCAAUUAUACGGGAACAAGAAUUCCGAAGCGUGUUCGAAGACAGCAUACAAUUGACCAGCUCUAAGCUUACUUUGUUGGACUUCCAACGCCGGAAGAUUCCUGUGCUGGGACAAUUUAAAGCUGGAAUCUCGUACAAGGAAAAAACAGCCGUUAUAGCAAUUCAUGUCACACCCGGAGGGACUUCUCUUCUUGGUCUGGACGCUGUGCAAGCUCUAGAGCUACAUAUUGUGGGUGCACAGCUACGUUGCCUGCACACGGCUGCCGAAGAAGCUUCAGGUGCCAUGCUGGACGGAGCAGCCAAAACGGCACAGGAACAGCACAGCCCGCUAAGUCCACCAAAGUUCGGCAUGCCAGCUUUGCUAUGGGCAAAAUUUUGCCAUUUGUUCUCACCAGGCCUUGGACUUGCCAAGGGCAUUCAGCACAAGGUCAAGAUAAAGUCGUCAGCCUCUCCAGUCGUGCAAAAGCUCAGACGUUUGCCACUUUCUCUGCGCAAGCCGGUUAGCGACCAGCUUGAGCGUCUUCUUUCUGAUGAUGUCAUUGAAAGGGUUAACGCUUCCGAGUGGGUUUCUCCUAUCGUUGUAGUCCGCAAGAAGGACGACAGUAUCCGCCUCUGCGUUGACUUAAGAGAGCCUAACAAAGCGAUUGUCGUCGACAGCUUUCCCUUGCCCCAUACGGAAGAGCUUCUACACUCUCUGAAUGGAGCACGCCACUUUUCAAAGCUCGAUUUAGCUUCUGCCUAUUACCAGGUGCUGCUUCACCCAGAUAGCAGAGACCUCACUGCUUUCAUUACGCACGAUGGCCUUUUUCGUUUCAAAAGGGUGUGUUUCGGACUGGCAUCAGCCCCAGCUGCGUUUCAACAACUCAUGACAACGGUCCUGCGAGGCUGCAAAGGGGUACUGUGCUACCUAGACGACAUCAUUAUCUUUGGCAGGACUGAAAAAGAGCAUUUGAGAAAUCUGGAGCAAGUUCUUCAACGUAUCGCUGAAGCUGGACUUAAGCUCAAUGAUAAAUGCGUGUUUAAUGCAUCGGAGUUACCAUUUCUUGGGCAUCGCGUCAGCUCGGAAGGAAUAGCUCCCCUUCAAGCCAAGGUUGAUGCCAUUGUUCACGCUGCCACCCCCACAGACACAAGCAUGCUGCGUUCAUUUUUGGGCUUGGUUGAGUACUAUGCUAAGUUUAUUCCCCACCUGGCUGAAGAAGUAGAACCUAUGCGUAGGUUGCUUCGUAAGGAUGUACAUUUUGAAUGGGAUGACGCUGCCGAAAAGAGCUUUGCCAGGGUGAAGAAGCUGCUAUCAUCGCACAAGAUACUGCAAAUGUUCGAUCCGACUCUCCCUGUUAUUGUGGCCACAGAUGCGUCUGCUUAUGGCCUGGGAGCAGUACUACAACAGGCUCAUGGCCCACACACUCGGACUGUUGCAUUCGCAUCCCGAACUCUGACAGAAACGGAGCGGAAGUACUCAGCGGGAGAGCGGGAGGCCCUGGCGUGUCUGUGGGCAUGCGAAAAAUGGCACACUUAUCUCUGGGGACGACCAUUCACGUUGGUAACGGACCAUCAAGCUCUAGUAUCUCUACUUUCGACACAAAGCACAGGACAGCGACCACUUCGCAUCACAAGGUGGACCGCUCGUUUGCUUCGUUACAAUUUCACAGUUCAGUACAGACGUGGAGAAUACAACAAGGUAGCAGACGCUUUGUCCCGGCUGCCUGUUCCAGACACAGAAGAUGGCCUUCAGAGUGAAGAGGAAGUUGUGUCUCUGGUCACAUCUUCAGUUCAUGUCAAUGACCUUCGACUUGCUACAGCCGAGGAUUGCAAACUCCAGGAGGUUGUUCAUUUUGUUCAGACAUCAUGGCCAGCGAAGAAAUAUUUGACUGCUGAACUGACUCCUUACUAUGAGGUCCGGGAGGAAUUGUCGAUAGCAGAUGGUCUGCUUAUGCGCUCGGAGCGUAUUGUGGUUCCAGCCAAGCUCACUGCUACGUUUAUUCAGCUUGCCCAUGAAUCGCACCCGGGAAUUGUGAAGACCAAGCAACGUCUUCGUGAAAAGUACUGGUGGCCAGGUCUGGACAAACAAGUAGAGACUGCCAUCCGAAACUGCACGGUCUGUCAGUCGGCAGACAAAAGUGCUAAGAGCUAUUCCACUCCACUACAGCCAGUGGCCCUUCCAGAUAAACCUUGGAGCAAGAUAGCUAUUGAUAUUGUGGGCCCAUUUGAGCGUGCACCAGCCGACUGCCGUUUCGUUAUAUCGGUUGUUGAUUAUUUUUCCAAAUGGCCAGAAGUUGCUUUCUGCAGGGAUGUGUCUACCACUAAAGUGAUGGACUUCCUCCUGUCAAUAUUUGCACGAGAAGGCUACCCCGACGAACUGGUCUCGGAUCAUGGACCACAAUUUACAUCCCGAGAAUUCGAGUCCUUUCUUCAAGACAGGGGCAUCAAGCACAGCUUCUCGGCUGUGUAUCACCCACAGGCAAAUGGACAGGUGGAAAGGUUCAACCGUGUGCUCAAAUCUUAUAUUCAGUUGGCCUUGCUAGAGCAGCGACCAGUGAAGAACACCGUUACAGAGUACUUGGGGAUCUUCAGAGUUACUCCUCACAGUACCACUGGCUUUUCUCCUGCAGUGCUUCUGCAUGGCCGGCACAUCCGGACAUCCUUGGACAUCAUCGGACAUCCCACCUCUAGCUUCUUCACGGACCCCGCUCUGGAGAUGUCCUCACUUCGGAAGAGGGUGAAAGAGCACCAGCGCAAGAACAAAGUGUACGCUGACCGACGAAGAGCAGCCCGAGUACCGCAGUUCCAAGUUGGGAAGUAUGUGCGCAUUAAGAAACCAACUCCUGGUCCGAAAGGUACUCCCAGCUUUGGACCUCCAAUGAAGAUCCUUAAGCGCAUCGGGCGUUGGUCCUUCUGCCUGGAGGACGGGCGAACUUGGAAUGCGUCACAGCUGACUGCAGUCCCAACGGGAGCAUCGCCACAACGUGCGGUACGAUGGGAUGACGACUACCAAACUGCGCCGCUACAUGGAGCACAAGCCUCUUCGCUGCCAAGUCCACGGACACCUGCCAGAACCUCUGGGCAGUUGGAGCUAUCCCCGUCGAUAUCUUCAGAUCCAUCACAGCCGCAGGGUCCAGUACGUGCAAGCCUUGCUUCAGAAGAUGGUGACAGUGCUUCCGUUGUCAUCGAAACUGCUGGCGAGCCGCCAGCGUUUCGUCGGUCCACAAGAGACAGAAGACCACCGGCAAGGUUGCAGGACUAUGUGCUUGGAUAUAAACAUUGACUGGCUUGUGAAUAUGUCUGUAUUAAGGAAGGGGUAGAUGUAGUGUCGUAGGGCGACACUAGGUGCCCUCAGUUGCAUAACUAUGAAAUCCAUAAAGAGAUGGCACCACUGUUGCCCGGGUAUAUAUAUGGGUGCUCGCAUGAAUAAAGGGUCUUGCGUCUGGUGUGAUAUGGGUUGACAUCUGUCUCAUUCUUCUGCUGGCCAACACUACAAAGAGCUGCCUCAUCGCAGGCGUCAAAAAUCUGUUCACUGCCGAGCACGCAGUGACAGCCGUCAUCGACCUCUUUCGCCGCUGGUCGGGAACCUCUACGAGCACGGCGCGAAACGUGGACUUGAUCAAGCUUGUGGGUCUGCUACACUUCAGGUACGCAAUUGCCAGCGUGUUAUACAUGUACUACAAAUUAUCAUUCGAGAAAAAAGAAUCCACCUACGUCAUACGCGUUCAGCUUGCGCCAUAUAUCGAUUUAGAAGCGUCAAGUGCCGGACAUGCCAUGUUCGAGGCUGCCAGGAGACACGCUGGCAUAAACGCUACGCAGGCAGACGUGCUUAGUCUAAUUCGCCGAUUACGCAUGACGCGCAAGACCUCUGAUAGUGAGCACUCUAUCGUCCCGAUACCGUUGUUAGGCGAACAGUUUCCAAAGGAGGGCAUAUCUACGUGGCAAGAGAUGUUGAGCGCAUUCCCAGUGAUUGCCAUCGAAAACCCUCCCGACGUCGCGGCAGUCUUAAGCAUAUUGACGGACAAAAACAUCCUCGUUCAAGCAGCCGCGCUACUGUACUUCGCCAUACACUCGACGCUGGCCACGUUGGACGACGAAAUUGGGCAGGAUGCUAGCGGAGUGGAUCACGCGGCGCUUUGCGAAAUAGUGACCAUGAGACUUUCUCCACUCUGGGAUGUGUUGGCGACGCAGCAGAUGACUAGUCCAGACCGUGACCAGGUUGUGCUGGAAAUGUUCAACAAGAUCUCUGAAGCCGUGAUUGCGGACGCCCAAGUUUUCUUCUCUGCCCACCUGGACGCCAACGCGGUGCGGAGUGUGGUGCGAAGCAUUCAUAUUGUUUUGCCUGAAAACCUGACUGCGCCCUACAAACGCCAUCUGCCCUCCAUAAGCGAGAACUACUUCGAGAAUAAGUUUGAAAUUCGGAGCUUCUAUUAUCAGAUACGCAGCAGCAGUGCUUUGCGGGGCCUCUCUGCGUUGUACAGUCGGCGCGUCGACUUGACUCACACAUCCCUCGUGAGAUUCGGCAACCAGAUCGCCGUUACGGCAAGCGUCUACGCGCUUCUCAGUUUCGGCAAGGAGACCGCCGGAGGAAACCGCAGCAUAGCCGACGGCGCAGGUGUCAUCAACGCGGCCGUGCUGGGCGUCAUGCUUGCCGAUGUCCUAUGGGACAAGAUUUUCGACCACGCACAGCGGGACACCGACAGCUGGGAAGGGCUGGCAGCGCACCUGCGCUGCCUUCGACGACAAAGUGGAGGUGUUGUGGACACUGAACUGAAGUACCCAAUUUUGUCGAUGUCAGCCGCGGUCCGUGCCUUUGCCACACCCAGCUGGCACGACCGGGCCCCGGUAUUCGGCUACCACAGCUUGUCAGCCAGCCAGGUGUUCUUCAUACUCUUCUUUGUGCACCACGUUUGUCUCCCGAGGGGUUCCUAUGGGAGUGGAGUGAGAGCGUCGGCGCUGAUGCGGGGCUUCGACGUGUUCUUCAAGGCUUUCGACUGUGCGGGGACGCCUAUGCGGAACGCAGUGGACUCCUGCGAGAAAGCGCGGCGAUGAGUGAUGUGCUGUGUGUCCUCUAGCACCUGUGGAACUACGAGACGACAACGAGGGCAGCAACGCGAAUCAUGCUUAUUGGUGUGCCACCGCACAGUUCGAGAACAACUCGCACGAACAUUGGUCUCAUUUCCCUUUCGCAGUGCCUUAUUUUGCAUCUAAAUGUUUCCAUCACUCGCGAAACUGUUUCUGCGUUUCCGAAUUUGCCAAGCUGCUUUAUUGUGAUAUAUAUGGAACUAGCGUGAAGGAUGGCGGUCGUGUAAAAUUUUUUUUCUGGUUCGUGAGUUUUUCUGCGUAAUUUAUUUUCUCGCCCGACGGUUUUCAAAAAUAAUGGCUCCUGCUUUAGCGUAGCUGGUGAACAUAGAUAAUAUCAGUGCUGUCAGUAGGAAUCGCUUUAUAGGUGUGUUACAGACUCUUUGUUGCUUGUUGUGUAGAUUUCCGUGGAUCGAAACGUGUUCAGUGGGCUACUCUACAGUGACGAACUUUUCGACACCUAGUGCUGUUCGGGAACUGCUCUGUUAUGUGGUCUUCAAAUAUAGGGCGUUACUUUACGUUCAUUUCUGUCGAGAGAACUGCACAUUCGUAAGCCUUGGCGUCAGUUUUAGCAGAUUUAUAAACGUCCUGCGGGUUUUGUUUGGGCAUGACGGCUGUUUACAUGUCAUUACUUAACGUGAACAAUUCUUGGCUGUAGCUGGCAAGAUAUUCCCCUUGUGCGAACACAACAGUCCUCUUUUAAGGAGGACCUUGUUUAAAAGCCACACACACAUUUAAGCUAUUCUUCAAGCUUGAACAGUAGCUUGUAUUGUUCUAUUGCGUUGAACAAUCCCUAACAAUUGCAGUGCGGCUUACACUGCCGAGAAACGCUUAUGCAUUUUAAGCCAAGACGAGAGCAUUUUUGACUCUGAUCAGCACCUUUGCGUUAUCAAGAUAGCACGAGCACGUUCCGAAUAAAAGCGUUUAACUGCGCUCUGUAA
Molecule: non-coding RNA, 7270 nt
Organism: Dermacentor albipictus
Lineage: Eukaryota; Metazoa; Arthropoda; Arachnida; Ixodida; Ixodidae
Source: RefSeq, a predicted model, not a curated record